Molecule: long non-coding RNA, 218 nt
Filed under: Elaeis guineensis (African oil palm)
Lineage: Eukaryota; Viridiplantae; Streptophyta; Magnoliopsida; Arecales; Arecaceae
Description: long non-coding RNA (EGUI_LNC013626)
Source: RNAcentral
GCAGCAUAUCAAUGAUUUGAGCAUUUUAAAACUUGUUAUCUUAAUAAAUUCAUUGGGGGCACAAAUAGCAUCAUAUUAUUUUAGGAAGGAAAGGGGGGCUUUUUUUAUUAAUUAUUACUCAAAGCUCUUUAAUAUUUGGAAAAUCAUAUUUUCUAGUAAUCUCUAAUUUAUAUAUUGUAAUAAUAUUUCUAAAAUACUAUAAUUAUGAUAAAUAAGCA